CAUGAUACAAGAGACCAUUAAAAGUCUCAAAAGAGAGUUAGAAGAUAAAUGGGGAAAGGAAAGAGUAGCCUUACAAGAGAGCAACAACUUCCUGAAAUACGAAUUGGAAAAGUAAAAAUCUCAGGAAAGUAAGAAUUGUGAAUUGGAAAAAAUAAAGAAUUCACUAGAAAGUAGGAUUUGUGAAUUGGAAAAGACAAAGAACUCGAAAGAAAGUAGGAUCCGUGAAUUGGAAAAGACAAAGAACACGCAAGAAAGUAGGAUCUGUGAAUUGGAAAAAGAAAAUAAUUCACUAAAAAAAAAAAAAAAAAAAAAAUUAGUGAAAUGGAAAAAAAUUCCACAGACCAAAACAAUACAUUCAAAAACUCAAUUGGACAUAUACAGAAAGAAGUAAAAAAAGCUAAUGAAGAAAAUAAUUUUUUAAAAAUUAGAACUGAACAAAUAGAAACUAAUGAUUCAUUGAGACAGCAAGAAUCAGUCAAGCAAAAACAAAAAAUUGACAAACUGGAAAAAACCAUGAAUUAUCUAUUUGCAAAAACGACAGACUUGGAAAAUAGAUCUAGGAGAGAGAAUCUGAGGAUUAUUGGACUUUCUGAAAACUAUGAUGAAAAAAAGAGCCUAGAUACUAUUUUACAAGAAAUCAUCAAAGAGAACUGCCCAGAUGUAAUAGAAUCAGAAGGUAAAAUAGGCAUUGAAAGAAUUCAUCGAACACCUUCGGAAAGAAACCCUAAAAUAAAAACCCCAAGGAAUAUUGUGGCAAAAUUUCAGAACUAUCAGAUUAAGGAAAAAUUUUACAAGCAGCCAAAAAAAAAACCAUUUAAAUACCGAGGUGCCACAAUAAGAAUCACCCAAGAUCUGGCUGCCUCUACAUUAAAGGAAAGAAGGGCCUGGAAUAUGAUAUUCUGAAAGGCACAAGAACUUGAGAUGCAGCCAAGAAAUUGAUCUAAUUAAAAGAGAUAAGGAAGGAAACUACAUCCUGCUAAAGGGUAGCAUAAACAACGAAGCAAUAUCAAUAUUAAACAUAUAUGCACCAAGUGGAAUGGCACUCAGCUUCCUAAAGGAGAACUACAUUCAACAUAAAGUUAGGGGGAAAUAGACCAAAAAGUAAUUGGAAACUAAACAAUCUCAUCUUAAAGAAUGAUUGGGUGAAGCAGCAAAUUAUAGAUACAAAUAAUAAUUUCACUCAAGAUAAUGUCAAUGAUGAGACAUCAUACCAAAAUUUGUGGGAUGCAGCCAAAGCGGUAAUAAUAGGAAUUUUAUAUCCUUAGAGGCUUACUUGAAUAAAACAGAGAAAUAAAAGAUUAAUGAAUUGGGCUUGCAACUAAAAAAACUAAAAAAAGAACAAAUUGAAAACCCCAAUCAAAUACUAAAUUGAAAUUUAAAAUUAAAAGGAGAAAUUAAAAAUAUUGAAAGUAAAAACUAUUGAACUAAUUAAUAAAACUAAGAGUUGGUUCUAUGAAAAAGCCAAUAAAAUAGAUAAGCCUUUGGUAAAUCUGAUUAGAAAAAGGAGAGAGGAAAAUGAAAUUAGUAGUCUUAAAAAUAAAAAGGGAGAACUUUCCACCAAUGAAGAGGAAAUUAGAGAAAUAAUAAGGAGUUAUUUUGCUCAACUUUAUGCCACUAAAUUUGAUAACCUAAGUGAAAUGGAUGACUACCUCCAAAAAUAUAGACGUCCCAGACUAACAGAGGAGGAAGUAAAUUGCUUGAAUAGUCCCAUUUCAUAAAAGAAAUAGAACAGGCAAUUAAACAACUCCCUAAGAAAAAAUCCCCAGGACCAGAUGGAUUUACAUGUGAAUUUUACCAAACAUUUAAAGAACAAUUGGCCCCAAUGCUAUAUAAAUUAUUUGAUAAAAUAGGGAAGGAAGGAGUCCUACCAAAUUUCUUCUAUGACACAGACAUGGUACUGAUACCUAAACCAGGUAGGCUGAAAACAGAGAAAGAAAAUUAUAGACCAAUCUCCCUAAUGAAUAUUGAUGCUAAAAUCUUAAAUAAGAUAUUAGCAAAAAGACUACAGAAAAUCAUCUCCAAGAUAAUACACUAUGAUCAAGUAGGAUUUAGACCAGGAAUGCAGGGCUGGUUCAAUAUUAGGAAAACUAUCAAUAUAAUUGGCCAUGUUAAUAACCAAAUUAACAAAAACCAUAUGAUCAUCUCAAAAGAUGCAGAAAAAGCAUUUGAUAAAAUCCAACAUCAAUUCCUAUUAAAAACAUUUGAGAGUAUAGGAAUAAAUGCACUUUUCCUUAAAAUAAUCAGCAGCAUCUAUUUAAAACCAUCAGUAAGCAUCAUAUGUAAUGGAGACAAACUGUAACCAUUCCCAAUAAGAUCUGAGGAAACAAGGUUGCCCACUAUCACCGUUAACUAUUUAAUAUUGUAUUAGAAACGCUAGCUAUAGCAAUAAGAGCUGAGAAAGAGAUUAAAGGAAUAAGAAUAGGCAAUGAGGAAGCCAAAUUAUCACUCUUUGCCGAUGACAUGAUGGUAUACUUAGAGAACCCCAGAGAUUCUGCCAAAAACUUAUUAGAAAU
Long non-coding RNA from Sarcophilus harrisii (Tasmanian devil), 2513 nucleotides. The record is from Ensembl. Lineage: Eukaryota; Metazoa; Chordata; Mammalia; Dasyuromorphia; Dasyuridae.